Molecule: long non-coding RNA, 261 nt
Filed under: Manihot esculenta (cassava)
Lineage: Eukaryota; Viridiplantae; Streptophyta; Magnoliopsida; Malpighiales; Euphorbiaceae
Description: long non-coding RNA (MESC_LNC003556)
Source: RNAcentral
GGAGAAACACGAGAAGAAGUGUGGAAAGAGGCCUGAGCCGUAUAAGCAGGCCUGGGAAAGAAGGGAUCAAAGGCCUCCUCCUCCUCGGGUUCUUGAACCAAGAGUGCUUCCUCCUUGGGUCCCGGAGAAACCGACUCCAUUAAAUGCGUCCAGAGCCGAGGUGCUCAUGGCUGUCCAGGAUAAGGAGUUUCUCCAGUGGCCUAAACCUUUGAAGUCGGAAGCAGACCAACGGAAUCCUGACAAGUAUUGUCAAUAUCAUCG